RNAcentral lists this ribosomal RNA (440 nucleotides) under uncultured bacterium. RNAcentral's name for it is "partial 16S ribosomal RNA". It matches the Rfam family "Bacterial small subunit ribosomal RNA", at positions 338 to 795 of the family's 1533-position model. The record is from RNAcentral.
CCUACGGGAGGCAGCAGUGGGGGAUAUUGCACAAUGGGGGGAACCCUGAUGCAGCGACGCCGCGUGGGUGAAGAAGCGCCUCGGCGCGUAAAGCCCUGUCAGCAGGGAAGAAAAUGACGGUACCUGAAGAAGAAGCCCCGGCUAACUACGUGCCAGCAGCCGCGGGAAUACGUAGGGGGCAAGCGUUAUCCGGAUUUACUGGGUGUAAAGGGGGCGCAGACGGCGAUGCAAGCCAGGGGUGAAGGCCCGGGGCCCAACCCCGGGACUGCUCUUGGAACUGCGUGGCUGGAGUGCAGGAGGGGCAGGCGGAAUUCCUGGUGUAGCGGUGAAAUGCGUAGAUAUCAGGAGGAACACCGGUGGCGAAGGCGGCCUGCUGGACUACAACUGACGUUGAGGCCCGAAAGCGUGGGGAGCAAACAGGAUUAGAUACCCGUGUAGUC